Long non-coding RNA from Eriocheir sinensis (Chinese mitten crab), 478 nucleotides. RefSeq lists it as uncharacterized. The transcript is spliced from 2 exons. The record is from RefSeq and is a predicted model, not a curated record. Lineage: Eukaryota; Metazoa; Arthropoda; Malacostraca; Decapoda; Varunidae.
ACACCUCUUUAGUUUUCCCAUUUUUCUCCAUUAUUCUCAAAGGUAUUUUAAUUUCCUUGGUAUGGUUGUAAAGCUUAAUAAAUUCCCUAUCUACCAUUACCUGUCCACCAUUACCAUACCUUGCACCAUAACUGAGAAAUGGGGUCAUGAACUUAGGGCGCUAUUUCGAACACAUAAUUUUUCCCUCACACACCUCUUCAGUUUUUCCCAUUUUUCUCCAUUAUUCUCAAAGGUAUUUUAAUUUCCUUGGUAUGGUUGUAAAGCUUAAUAAAUUCCCUAUCUACCAUUACCUGUCCACCAUUACCAUACCUUGCACCAUAACUGAGAAAUGGGGUCAUGAACUUAGGGCGCUAUUUCGAACACAUAAUUUUUCCCUCACACACCUCUUCAGUUUUUCCCAUUUUUCUCCAUUAUUCUCAAAGGUAUUUUAAUUUCCUUGAUGUGGUUGUAAAGCUUAAUAAAUUCCCUAUCUACCAUU